AUAACUGGUUACUAUUAAUCAAUAUGAAGAUAACAAAGAGGUAUUAUGAAUGUUUUUCCUUUUCCUUUUACUUUUUGUGGUAGGAGUUUGAGUCUCCCAAGAGUAAGGUGGGAAGUUCUUGGAGGGAAGGAUGCCAGUGGUCUAUUUGGAAACAGCCUCUCUACCCCAGGGUAGGGGUAAGGUCUGCGUACAUACUACCC
RNAcentral lists this long non-coding RNA (200 nucleotides) under Nicotiana benthamiana. RNAcentral's name for it is "long non-coding RNA (NBEN_LNC007393)". The record is from RNAcentral. Lineage: Eukaryota; Viridiplantae; Streptophyta; Magnoliopsida; Solanales; Solanaceae.